Long non-coding RNA from Nycticebus coucang (slow loris), 143 nucleotides. RefSeq lists it as uncharacterized. NCBI's taxonomy places the organism in Eukaryota, Metazoa, Chordata, Mammalia, Primates, Lorisidae. The record is from RefSeq and is a predicted model, not a curated record. The transcript has 3 exons.
AUCUUACCAAGGAGGAUCUUGGUCGUUCUUCUGGGAAUGGCGAUUCAAAUGGAACCAAGACAGUACCAAAACAAGUAAAUGGGGAUUCUAAGAUAGAACCUCAGUUACAGCUCACUGUGAGUACCUAUGGCACAGAAGCUGCU